CCUACGGGAGGCAGCAGUGAGGAAUAUUGGUCAAUGGACGCAAGUCUGAACCAGCCAUGCCGCGUGCAGGAAGACGGCUCUAUGAGUUGUAAACUGCUUUUGUACGAGGGUAAACGCAGAUACGCGUAUCUGUCUGAAAGUAUCGUACGAAUAAGGAUCGGCUAACUCCGUGCCAGCAGCCGCGGUAAUACGGAGGAUUCAAGCGUUAUCCGGAUUUAUUGGGUUUAAAGGGUGCGUAGGCGGUCGUAUAAGUUAGAGGGGAAAUCCCGAGGCUCAACUUCGGAAUUGCCUCUGAUACUGUUCGGCUAGAGAGUAGUUGCGGUAGGCGGAAUGUAUGGUGUAGCGGUGAAAUGCUUAGAGAUCAUACAGAACACCGAUUGCGAAGGCAGCUUACCAAGCUACUUCUGACGUUGAGGCACGAAAGCGUGGGGAGCAAACAGGAUUAGAUACCCCUGUAGUC
This 460-nucleotide ribosomal RNA is filed under the name uncultured bacterium. Its description in RNAcentral is "partial 16S ribosomal RNA". It matches the Rfam family "Bacterial small subunit ribosomal RNA", at positions 338 to 795 of the family's 1533-position model. The record is from RNAcentral.